AGAGUUUGAUCCUGGCUCAGGACUAACGCUGGCGGCGUGCCUAACACAUGCAAGUCAAGGAGAACGUUCCCUUCGGGGAACUAUUAAACUGGCGGACGGGUGAGUAAUGCAUAGGUAACCUGCCCUGGAGACUGGGAUAACUUCGCGAAAGCGAUGCUAAUACCGGAUAAUGCAGCGGACCCUAAGGGGUACAGUUGUUAAAGCGGGCUUCGGCUCGUACUUCAAGAUGGGCCUAUGUCCGAUUAGCUUGUUGGUGAGGUAAAAGCUUACCAAGGCUAUGAUCGGUAGCUGGUCUGAGAGGAUGAUCAGCCACACUGGGAUUGAGAUACGGCCCAGACUCCUACGGGAGGCAGCAGUGGGGAAUCUUGCGCAAUGGGGGAAACCCUGACGCAGCAACGCCGCGUGACCGAUGAAGCUUUUCGGAGUGUAAAGGUCUGUCGUGAGGGAAGAAUGGCUUCUAUUCAAAUAGUUUAGAGGCAUGACGGUACCUCACAAGAAAGCACCGGCUAACUUCGUGCCAGCAGCCGCGGUAAUACGAGGGGUGCUAGCGUUGUCCGGAAUCACUGGGCGUAAAGGGUACGUAGGCGUCCUGAUAAGCAUUGAUUGAAAUCCUUCGGCUUAACCGGAGAACUGGUCAGUGAACUGUCAGGAUAGAGUUUGGUAGAGGAAAGCGGAAUUCCCGGUGUAGCGGUGAAAUGCGUAGAUAUCGGGAGGAACAUCGACGGCGAAGGCAGCUUUCUGGGCCAAUACUGACGCUGAGGUACGAAAGCGUGGGUAGCGAACAGGAUUAGAUACCCUGGUAGUCCACGCUGUAAACGAUGAGCACUUGGUGGUGGGAGAUUCGACCCUUUCACUGUCGUAGCUAACGCGUUAAGUGCUCCGCCUGGGGACUACGACCGCAAGGUUGAAACUCAAAGGAAUUGACGGGGGCCCGCACAAGCGGCGGAGCAUGUUGCUUAAUUCGAGGCAACGCGAAGAACCUUACCUGGGUUUGACAUGUAGGGAAAAGCCAUAGAGAUAUGG
This 1023-nucleotide ribosomal RNA is filed under the name marine metagenome. Its description in RNAcentral is "bacterial SSU rRNA". It matches the Rfam family "Bacterial small subunit ribosomal RNA", at positions 8 to 1011 of the family's 1533-position model. The record is from RNAcentral.